RNAcentral lists this unclassified non-coding RNA (201 nucleotides) under uncultured fungus. RNAcentral describes it as "sequence contains ITS1". Lineage: Eukaryota; Fungi. The record is from RNAcentral.
GUGUUCAUUAUUAAACAAAACAGACAUUCAAAAUCCUUGGUUGUAUAUAUAAACAAAACAUAGGCUUCAAGAGCCUACAAAGGGUGCACAGGUGUGAUAAAAAGGGUCAGAAUGGUUUGAGGAGUGCACAUUGCCCCAGAGAGCCAGCAAACAUCCCCAAGCAUUUCAGUAAUGAUCCUUCCGCAGGUUCACCUACGGAAA